RNAcentral lists this long non-coding RNA (1159 nucleotides) under Mus musculus (house mouse). RNAcentral's name for it is "long non-coding RNA chr7:112099251-112100410". Lineage: Eukaryota; Metazoa; Chordata; Mammalia; Rodentia; Muridae. The record is from RNAcentral.
UGAUGCCCUCUUCUGGUGUGUCUGAAGACAGCUACAGUGUAAUCAUAUAUAUAAUAAAUAGUUCUUUAAAAAAGAAAGAAACUCAAGUGUAAAAGUGUAGACUACUGGACAAAAUGGUGACAGAAGGGUGUUGUACUAGUGCUUAAGUCUCCAUCCAGGGCCCUCUCAAAAGGCGCAUUAGCUUGCAUAAGUGAGUUCAUGUUGUCCUCUCAGCAGCUGUGUGAAUCCUGUUUGCUCUGGUGAAAUACCUAGUUCAAACAGGUUCGGUUGUCUGUGGUCAUAUUCCUGUAAGUUGUGCUCCUAGGAUUCCUCUAGCCACCAUCUAGGUACCACUGUCAGUUUGAGCUGCUCACAGUGAUGUAGUGGUCAUAUCUAGCAGACCAAGAAUUCCAUAUCCCAAGAAUGUCCUGCCUAGCAUUGGCAGCAGAGCCCUAGGGAUGACUGAACUGCAUUAACUCUGUUAAAAAAAAAAAAAAAACAAAAACAAACAAACAAAAAAAACACCAAAAUCGACAUCCUGGUGUAACCUUGUCCUAGUGUGAACUCGUUGUAGUCUGUAGAACUUAGGGAUAAACAAGGAAGGCAAAUAAUGGAUUUAGUGCACGAGCUUUGAAGUGUUUUCCUAUAAUUUAGAUAUCCUAAAAAUAUUUGAAGUUGUGUUAUAAGGAGCUGAAUCUGUCUUUUUCUCUUGUAAGCUUUCUUUCUGUGGUUUUUAUAAGAGGAAAGAAAGAGGUGUAAUGGUCAUCUCUAAAACAGUUUCAACCACGAUAGUGAGUCUUUGCUGAAGCUGUAAGUACAAAGAGUCUAGUCUCAGGCUACAAAAUGGAACCAGGAGGUCAUUGAAACUAAACCUUUAGACCACCUGGUGCUUAGCUCCAGACUAGAUUGGCUCAAUAACCAACAGUUGAGUCUCCUGGGAGUUAGGAAAGGAACCAAAUGCUAUUCAAGUCUUUGUUGGCUCCUAGGAUCCUAUGGGAGAACUGAGGCUCAGAUUGGAUCCUUGCUUACAAGCCCUUAGCUUCUGAUCUCCUGCCACUUUCCAUUACACAUCUCCCUCAGAAUCUUCAGUGUCUUGAAGAGUGCAAAUGUAAAUUUGUUUCCCAUAUGAUUUCAAUUGGGCCCAUCCCUUAACACUUAGAAGUUAGAAUUCUAGGCAAGU